CCUACGGGGGGCAGCAGUGGGGAAUUUUCCGCAAUGGGCGAAAGCCUGACGGAGCAACGCCGCGUGAGGGAUGAAGGCCUCUGGGCUGUAAACCUCUUUUAUCAAGGAAGAAGAUCUGACGGUACUUGAUGAAUAAGCCACGGCUAAUUCCGUGCCAGCAGCCGCGGUAAUACGGGAGUGGCAAGCGUUAUCCGGAAUUAUUGGGCGUAAAGCGUCCGCAGGCGGCCCUUCAAGUCUGCUGUUAAAAAGUGGAGCUUAACUCCAUCAUGGCAGUGGAAACUGUUGGGCUUGAGUGUGGUAGGGGCAGAGGGAAUUCCCGGUGUAGCGGUGAAAUGCGUAGAUAUCGGGAAGAACACCAGUGGCGAAGGCGCUCUGCUGGGCCAUCACUGACGCUCAUGGACGAAAGCCAGGGGAGCGAAAGGGAUUAGAUACCCCUGUAGUCCUGGCCGUAAACGAUGAACACUAGGUGUCGGGGGAAUCGACCCCCUCGGUGUCGUAGCCAACGCGUUAAGUGUUCCGCCUGGGGAGUACGCACGCAAGUGUGAAACUCAAAGGAAUUGACGGGGGCCCGCACAAGCGGUGGAGUAUGUGGUUUAAUUCGAUGCAACGCGAAGAACCUUACCAGGGUUUGACAUCCUGCGAAUCUCUUGGAAACAGGAGAGUGNCUUCGGGAACGCAGUGACAGGUGGUGCAUGGCUGUCGUCAGCUCGUGUCGUGAGAUGUUGGGUUAAGUCCCGCAACGAGCGCAACCCACGUCUUUAGUUGCCAGCAUUUAGUUGGGCACUCUAGAGAGACUGCCGGUGAUAAACCGGAGGAAGGUGUGGAUGACGUCAAGUCAUCAUGCCCCUUACAUCCUGGGCUACACACGUACUACAAUGCUACGGACAAAGGGCAGCAAGUUCGCGAGGACAAGCAAAUCCCAUAAACCGUGGCUCAGUUCAGAUCGUAGGCUGCAACUCGCCUACGUGAAGGCGGAAUCGCUAGUAAUCGCAGGUCAGCAUACUGCGGUGAAUACGUUCCCAGGCCUUGCACACACCGCCCGUC
Molecule: ribosomal RNA, 1044 nt
Filed under: uncultured cyanobacterium
Lineage: Bacteria; Bacillati; Cyanobacteriota
Description: bacterial SSU rRNA
Rfam family: Bacterial small subunit ribosomal RNA
Source: RNAcentral